Molecule: long non-coding RNA, 563 nt
Filed under: Zostera marina
Lineage: Eukaryota; Viridiplantae; Streptophyta; Magnoliopsida; Alismatales; Zosteraceae
Description: long non-coding RNA (ZMAR_LNC000030)
Source: RNAcentral
UAUGUCGAUUUACAUGAACAUUCCCCCAAAAAACAUAAAAAUCGAUCGAUCGAUCAUGAACAGCAAACGACGCAGGUGGCUACGUACCAGCGGCAGCAUCUCUGGCAGCCGUGAACGUAGAUUCCGAUUUGAAACGCUCCAAAAUGAAUCUGUCCGCUUUUCUGUUCAUUCAAAUCAAUUUUGCUCAGUUCGCUGUCAGUCUUGGCAUCUAAGGGUUUCACGUUUAAGCCAGACAUCGACGUCGUUGCCUCCUUCACAUCUGCAUGCAGGUAGUGCGUACGUAGCCAAAGCAUCAUCCAUCGUGAAAUUAAAUGAAAUAAUCAGUAAGUAUAAACUACAAAUUAAAUUACUAACAAUUAACCAACUUUUUUGAAUUAAUUCCCGCCGCGCAUCUGCUACAUCAGAUGAAAUGAUCAUAACGACGAUGUUGAUUAUCAAAACACUGAAGACCGUAACCAGCAAAGGCGAAGAAGCCAUUUUCAUUAUUGAAAAAGAAAAAUGAAAAAGAAAAGGAAAAUGAAAAAGAAAAAGAAAAGGAAAACUGAUUAUAUGCAGAAAAUGAU